This 468-nucleotide ribosomal RNA is filed under the name uncultured bacterium. RNAcentral describes it as "partial 16S ribosomal RNA". It matches the Rfam family "Bacterial small subunit ribosomal RNA", at positions 28 to 507 of the family's 1533-position model. The record is from RNAcentral.
GACGAACGCUGGCGGCGUGCUUAACACAUGCAAGUCGAACGGAAAGGCCCUGCUUUUGUGGGGUGCUCGAGUGGCGAACGGGUGAGUAACACGUGAGUAACCUGCCCUUGACUUUGGGAUAACUUCAGGAAACUGGGGCUAAUACCGGAUAGGAGCUCCUGCUGCAUGGUGGGGGUUGGAAAGUUUCGGCGGUUGGGGAUGGACUCGCGGCUUAUCAGCUUGUUGGUGGGGUAGUGGCUUACCAAGGCUUUGACGGGUAGCCGGCCUGAGAGGGUGACCGGGCACCAUGGGACUGAGGGAGGGCCCAGAAGGCUACGGGGGGCAACAGGGGGGAAUAUUACCCAAUGGGGCGAAGCCUGAUGCAGCAACGCCGCGUGCGGGAUGACGGCCUUCGGGUUGUAAACCGCUUUCGCCUGUGACGAAGCGUGAGUGACGGUAAUGGGUAAAGAAGCACCGGCUAACUACGUG